AGUAAUCGUGGAUCAGCAUGCCACGGUGAAUACGUUCCCGGGCCUUGUACACACCGCCCGUCACACCACGAGAGUUUGUAACACCCGAAGUCGGUAGGGUAACCUUUAUGGAGCCAGCCGCCGAAGGGGGGACAGAUAAUUGGGGUGAAGUCGUAACAAGGUAGCCGUAUCGGAAGGUGCGGCUGGAUCACCUCCUUUCUAAGGAA
Molecule: ribosomal RNA, 206 nt
Filed under: Listeria monocytogenes
Lineage: Bacteria; Bacillati; Bacillota; Bacilli; Caryophanales; Listeriaceae
Description: partial 16S ribosomal RNA
Rfam family: Bacterial small subunit ribosomal RNA
Source: RNAcentral